Molecule: ribosomal RNA, 253 nt
Filed under: uncultured bacterium
Lineage: Bacteria
Description: partial 16S ribosomal RNA
Rfam family: Bacterial small subunit ribosomal RNA
Source: RNAcentral
UACGUAGGGAGCAAGCGUUGUCCGGAAUCAUUGGGCGUAAAGCGCGCGUAGGUGGCCUCAUAAGUCCGUUGUGAAAGUCAAAGGCUCAACCUUUGAAAGCCGAUGGAUACUGUGAGACUAGAGUACGGAAGAGGCGAGUGGAAUUCCUGGUGUAGCGGUGGAAUGCGCAGAUAUCAGGAGGAACAUCCGUGGCGAAGGCGGCUCUCUGGGACGGUACUGACGCUGAGACGCGAAAGCGUGGGGAGCGAACAGG